UGCACAAUAUAGACCCCCACAUUUAUAUAUAUAGUGGUAUUCAAGGAUGACUCUUCCGCAAGGCAAUAUGAGGUUUGGGGUGAAGAGACACAACCUUCUUGGUUUUCUUGUACUUACCACCCUGUUUCUUGCUUGGAGCUUGUUUUUCACAGGUGAGAAGUUAGGGAGGUCAAUACAUGCAAGCGAUGGGAACGAAUUAUCUGGGGCCGUCACUGUAAAACGAAUGAAAGUCAAACCAUUUGACUUGGCAAAACUAAUGCAACAGCGACCCCCUGAGCCACCACCCCCGCCUCCACAGGCACCCCCGGGACCAAAACCCUAAUAUAAUAAGGAAUUCCCUGUAUUUUUCGCAUGCACAGUUGCACUAGAAAUAUUGUGAAGCAGCUGAUGACACUGUCGAUAUUUUUACGUACUCGGGAAAACAUAUAUGUGUGAAUCUUCAUUUAGAAAUUAAAACAUAGUCAUCAAUCGACCAUGAAUUAGAAUAAUUGGACCACCUUGAGACUCAUGCGGCCUUUCAGCUUUCAUCAUAUAUAUAUUGACAAUCUUCUCUGUGAAUUUAUGCAAUUGAUCCUUCAGUACAAUCUUCUCAA
Carya illinoinensis is the source of this 593-nucleotide long non-coding RNA. RefSeq lists it as uncharacterized. Lineage: Eukaryota; Viridiplantae; Streptophyta; Magnoliopsida; Fagales; Juglandaceae. The transcript has 2 exons. The record is from RefSeq and is a predicted model, not a curated record.